CCGGACAAGUGGACAGACGCCGAGUUGGAUAAGGUGAAGGACAAAGAUAUGAGAACUCCAUCAUGUUGGUGUGGAGAUGUUUGCAAAGUUAAGGUAUUCACCGACCGCAAGAAAUCAUGGACGGAAGGAAGACGAUAUUUUGUUUGUCCCAACUAUGCCUACGAUCGUCCUCGUCAGCUCACGCCUAUGAUGUACCACCGGUAA
This 204-nucleotide ribosomal RNA is filed under the name Triticum aestivum (bread wheat). Its description in RNAcentral is "partial small subunit ribosomal RNA". Lineage: Eukaryota; Viridiplantae; Streptophyta; Magnoliopsida; Poales; Poaceae. The record is from RNAcentral.